CCAACGUGGAUACCCCGGGAGGUCACUCUCCCCGGGCUCUGUCCAGGUGGCGCAGGGGAGCACAGGGCUCUGCCCAGUGAUGUACAGUCCCAUUCCACAACGUUGGAGAGGAAGCCGGGCUCUCGAGCCCCCACCUGCAUAUUCCUACAGCUUCUCUGAGUCUUAUUGACAAUGACUGAGGAGAAAAACCAUGCAGGAAACAUAU
Small nucleolar RNA from Dasypus novemcinctus (nine-banded armadillo), 205 nucleotides. Its record names the gene SNORA73. It matches the Rfam family "Small nucleolar RNA SNORA73 family". From Rfam's summary of the family: U17 (SNORA73A and SNORA73B) also known as E1 belongs to the H/ACA class of small nucleolar RNAs (snoRNAs). Vertebrate U17 is intron-encoded and ranges in length from 200-230 nucleotides, longer than most snoRNAs. It is one of the most abundant snoRNAs in human cells and is essential for the cleavage of pre-rRNA within the 5' external transcribed spacer (ETS). NCBI's taxonomy places the organism in Eukaryota, Metazoa, Chordata, Mammalia, Cingulata, Dasypodidae. The record is from Ensembl.